Molecule: ribosomal RNA, 167 nt
Filed under: Anisostachya tenella
Lineage: Eukaryota; Viridiplantae; Streptophyta; Magnoliopsida; Lamiales; Acanthaceae
Description: 5.8S ribosomal RNA
Source: RNAcentral
AAUCCCGUGAACCAUCGAGUCUUUGAACGCAAGCCGCGCCCGAAGCCUUCGGGCCGCGGGGACGCCUGCGCGCGCGUCACGCNUCGCGCCGCCCCCUCCCCCCGUCGCUCCUCGGAGCGGGGGGGCGGAGACUGGCCUCCCGUGCGCUCCCGUCGCGCGGCUGGCCC